This 326-nucleotide unclassified non-coding RNA is filed under the name uncultured bacterium. Its description in RNAcentral is "16S-23S ribosomal RNA intergenic spacer". The record is from RNAcentral.
UAAGAGACGGCGGCAUAUACGUCUGCUUUUUUCUCCUUAUUCUCUUCCAGUUCAAUGUAUCUAUUCGAUUUACAUUGUUUAUGAUAAUGCCCGGUUGGGGGCAAUACCGGUUCGAUCCCGGAUUAUCUGCUAUACUGCACCCGGUUUGUUUUCAAAUGAGAAAACAGUCAGGCCGGGGAAAGUACAAAAGCUCAUUGACAAGUAGGGCGAGGAAAAAAGUCAAAGACAAAAGAAAAGAGCGUUUAGGAAAAAACCUUUGUAAGAAGGCGAGAAAGAACUGAGUCCAGGGAUGGAUUCAAAGAAAAGGAAGCUUACAAGGGCGUACG